GAUUUAAGAAGAUCUAAAUAAUAAUAGUUAUUAGACAAGAAGAAAUGUUACAAAUAUUAUAAAAAAUUUUUAUUUAGGGGUGAGACGCUUUCAAUUCUUAGGGUAACUGGAUUUAAUUUAAAUGCAUUAAGUGCAGGAUUUAUUUCUGACUUUCGAAGUGUUAAGAAUUUGAAAGAAAUCUUUAAGUUAAUUUUUUUUAAUUAAUAAGGAAUAACUUUCUUAAUUAUUUUAUAACAAUAAUUUUUAUUUAAUAAUUUAAAAAGAAUAAAUUAAAAUUUUAAAAAACUUUUUAUAAUAUUUAUAAUGUUUAAAUAAGUAUUGACAAGAAAAAUCCUUUUAAGGAACUCGGCAAAAAAGAUUUUCGACUGUUUAACAAAAACAUAGCUUUAUGAAUGAUUUAUUAUACAUAUAAAGUUUCUUCUGCCCAGUGAAAUUUUAACGGCCGCAGUACCUUGACUGUGCUAAGGUAGCAUAAUAAAUUGGCUUUUAAUUGAAGUCUUGAAUCAACGGAUGGACGAAAAGAAGCUGUCUUAAAAGGAUUUAUUAAAAAUUAAUUUAAAAGGUGAAAAAGCCUUUAUUUUUUUAUAGACAAGAAGACCCUUAGAAUUUUUUUAAAAGAGAACUAUUCAUAUAUAGUUAUAUUAUUAUAUAUUAUUAUAAAUGUGUUUUUCCUAUUUUGUUGGGGCGACAGGGUAACAGAUGUUAACUUACCUUGGUUAUUAUAGUACAUAUCAGAUUAUAAAAGUCUAGAGUAAAUUACCUAAGGGAUAACAGCAUAAUUAUAAAAAUUGUUUGUGACCUCGAUGUUGGAUUAGGAUAACAUAAAACUAGCCGUUUUAUUGUUUAGUUCUGUUCGAACUUCUUUUCCUACAUGAUCUGAGUUCAGACCGGCGUAAGCCAGGUCAG
This 906-nucleotide ribosomal RNA is filed under the name Natalina wesseliana. Its description in RNAcentral is "partial 16S ribosomal RNA". Lineage: Eukaryota; Metazoa; Mollusca; Gastropoda; Stylommatophora; Rhytididae. The record is from RNAcentral.